This 567-nucleotide long non-coding RNA is filed under the name Ursus thibetanus thibetanus. RNAcentral describes it as "lncRNA (ENSUTTG00000013866.1)". The record is from RNAcentral. Lineage: Eukaryota; Metazoa; Chordata; Mammalia; Carnivora; Ursidae.
AUGCUAUCCUGCACUGAGCUGUGUCUCCGUGGAAAUGCUCCGUUUCCGACACCUUGUGCCAGGCUGCCCCCUACAUGGAUGUCUUCUCACUUUUCCAGAGCACUGACAUCCCACCCUCGGCUGCCUGUCCGAGUGGAUACUAACCUCACACUGAUCUUGCUCCAAAAUCGCCCUCCGGAUCCCCGUGGCUCUCCUGUGCUGAGGGGGGACCCCUGCCACACUAGCUGCACCGGAUUGUCUACGGCGAUACAGUCAAAAAUACAUUAUGAUUUUAAAAAUGCUUCGUGGUCAAGUAAGUUUGGCAGACACAGAUAUACCACAUCCUUCGAGAAUUUGAGAUCGACCACAUCAAGCCCACAUUCCUCUUCAAGACUUUCAGAUAAGCUAUCUUUAUCUGGAUUAUGUUGCCUGAUGGCUGAUUCCAUCAUUGCUGCACCUUUCGUAAACCUCUGGUCAUGUGGAAAUGCCUGGUGUUCUUGUACUCCUAGAAAUUUCACUAGAGGAAAUACUCUUCCAUUGGUCUUCUGCAAUCAACAACUUUCUUUUACCUCAGGAUGUUCUCACUGA